GCCAUUACAAAUAAACUAAUCUUUUGAAAGGUUUGUUAUAUAAAUGUUAAAGUUAUGGCAUUCUGAAGUUUUCAGUUCACCUAUCUCUAUCAGAAUAUAAAGAGCUGAUGAUUAAGUGAAAUCAAUUCAUAGUUCUGCUUGCCCCACUGAAUUAUUUUCUAUCUAGAGUCCGGUAUGUCUAAUUAGAUGAUUCACGAAGAUGAGCCUCUUCUCACCUGACUUGACUGCCAUCUUUUUUCUUUGAACUACGUGACAAUUUUUGCUUGACUGUUGGUCACUUUGAAGCAAUUUGGUUUUAUAAUCUUUCUAUUACUGCAGGAGUUCCUGUUGCUUUUGUG
RNAcentral lists this unclassified non-coding RNA (338 nucleotides) under Hevea brasiliensis (rubber tree). Lineage: Eukaryota; Viridiplantae; Streptophyta; Magnoliopsida; Malpighiales; Euphorbiaceae. The record is from RNAcentral.